GACAGAGGGUGCAAACGUUGCUCGGAAUUACUGGGCGUAAAGGGCGUGUAGGCGGGAAGGCAAGUCGGGCGUGAAAUCCCCAGGCUCAACCUGGGAACUGCACUCGAAACUGCCUUUCUUGAGUGUCGGAGAGGAAAGCGGAAUUCCUGGUGUAGAGGUGAAAUUCGUAGAUAUCAGGAGGAACACCAGUGGCGAAGGCGGGCUUUCU
Molecule: ribosomal RNA, 208 nt
Filed under: uncultured bacterium
Lineage: Bacteria
Description: partial 16S ribosomal RNA
Rfam family: Bacterial small subunit ribosomal RNA
Source: RNAcentral